This 1040-nucleotide long non-coding RNA is filed under the name Monodelphis domestica (gray short-tailed opossum). Its description in RNAcentral is "lncRNA (ENSMODG00000031822.2)". Lineage: Eukaryota; Metazoa; Chordata; Mammalia; Didelphimorphia; Didelphidae. The record is from RNAcentral.
CUUCUGUUCAGUUGGUGAGAUCCUUUGACUGGAACAGAGACUGACUUGGUCCUCUCACUAACUCACUCGCUGACUAGGCUUCGGUUGGUGAGUAGAGUAGGCUCUUUCUGGCUGCUGUUGAAGACAGACAUCUGUGAAUUUACCCAAGGCUGGUAAAAGGGGAGAGACUCCUCUGAAUCCCAUAUGAAGAAGUUUCCUGCUUUCCUGAUGGAGAGAAGUCAUCUAAAGAAGAAGCUGGUAGAUCCAAGUUGCUGGAUAGAAGUUUGGAGAAGAAGAAAGAUUGAAGUUGUUUGGACUUUGGGCCAUACCAGGGCUACCAGACGGUUAAUGUUGCUGUUGUUGGCAGUGUGUUAAGGAAACAUAUUAACAAGUUAAGAAAGAUCCGACCAAGAGGAUUCAUGGCAGAAUUUCAGAUUAUUGAAUCAUAGCUGGAAGGGACUUUAGAGAUCAUCUGCAUCAAACCCCUUAUUUCACAAAUGAGGAAUCUGAAGCCCAUGGAGGAAAUGUAAUUUCUCAAAGUCUCAAAAUGUGAUACUGAAAUGAAACAAUGAACUUUUCUUUUACUCUGAUGUUUCCUGGAGUCAGGAUUUGUUGUUGUUCAGCCAUUCUUCAGUCAUGUCCAACUCUUUGUGACUCCAUUUGGGGUUUUCUUGUGCUUCCUCUGGAUGUGGAUAGCUUCUUUCUCAUAAGACCCUCAGAAUUGUCUUGGAUCAUUGCAUUGCUGCUAGUAGCAACAUCGAUUACAUUGGAUAGUUCCACAAUGUUUCAGUUUCCGUGUACAAUGUUUUCCUGGUUCUGCUCAUUUCAUUCUGCAUCGUUUCAUGGAGGUUCCUCCAACAUCAUUCCUCAUAGCACAGUGGUAUUCCAUCACCAACAGAUACCACGGUUUUCUUGCUUAAUGACACAUGUAAAACCCAGUGGAAUUGCAUGUUGGCUAUGGGAAGAGGUUGGGAGGAAGGGGAGGGAAAGAACAUGAAUCUUGUAACCAUAGGAAUAUGGUCUAAAUUAAUUAAUUAAAUAAAAGUAAAUAUUUAAAAGCA